RNAcentral lists this long non-coding RNA (204 nucleotides) under Homo sapiens (human). Its description in RNAcentral is "HSALNT0004702". Lineage: Eukaryota; Metazoa; Chordata; Mammalia; Primates; Hominidae. The record is from RNAcentral.
UCCUUACAGCUGAGCCAACCUAAAUGUGCAGUCCCAUCUCUCCCAAAGAUCCCAGGCCAGCCGGAGCUGAAUGCAAGAACUAUUUAAGAAGCCUCAGCUCCUCUUCACUCCCAGGAAGGAUGAAGGCGAAUGGACACAUUUUGAUCAGAGACCACAAAAUCCUGCGAAGGCAUCAGAAAUGGAAGAGCUCCAGGGUGAAAAGAG